UUGAAAAUUUUCUAUGGCGUUAUUCAGUGGAACGACUGGGUUCACCGCAUUCAUACAUAGUUGUAAAUAUUUGACGUGUUUUCAUAUUGAUUUUUUAGUUGCAAUAACUAAUAAGUAGAAGGCUCUGUUGUUUCAUCUAUGUAGUCGCAAAAACUAAUUCUAUAGCUAAGUGUAAUCUAUAUGCUUGUAUCUUCAUCAUAAUAUGUAAUAUAAUUUUAAAGAUUUGACCUGAAAUUUUAGUUUCGUGACACUGAUAGACUAUUAUUGCUUUUUACUCCAUAUUUAUAUUUUCCAUCGACUAUAAGUGAUACAUGAAGUGGAUGUUGCAAGUUUGAAAAUCAGAUCUAUUGAUGCAUAUCAUGUUAAGUGCAAGUUUCCAACACAGAAGUAGACCGUUAUAUAAAGCUAGAAUAGAUGAAUCCUGAAGUUGCAAAGACUAAAGUCAACUAAAGGCUAUACUAGCAAUCUGUCAAAAAACCCCGAAAAAUAUGGUAGUUGGUAAUUCUACAGCAUUUUGUGUAAAAUAAAACACUUAUAAGACAAUACAAGACAUUACAAGAAAAUAAAAGACAUAUACUUCAGAAAGAAACAGAACUUUCAUUCCUCAUAACUAUAUCAUAAAAUUGAUCAGUAUUAUAAAGUUUUAGAGAAUGCGUAAUUAGGAGCGGAUAAAGCGAA
Molecule: long non-coding RNA, 678 nt
Organism: Xenia sp. Carnegie-2017
Lineage: Eukaryota; Metazoa; Cnidaria; Anthozoa; Malacalcyonacea; Xeniidae
Exons: 2
Source: RefSeq, a predicted model, not a curated record